UACGAAGGGGGCUAGCGUUGUUCGGAAUUACUGGGCGUAAAGCGUGCGCAGGCGGCUUCUCAAGUCAGGGGUGAAAGCCCAGAGCUCAACUCUGGAACUGCCUUUGAGACUGAGUGGCUUGAGUACGAGAGAGGUGAGUGGAAUUCCCAGUGUAGAGGUGAAAUUCGUAGAUAUUGGGAAGAACACCGGUGGCGAAGGCGGCUCACUGGCUCGUAACUGACGCUCAUGCACGACAGCGUGGGGAUCAAACAGG
RNAcentral lists this ribosomal RNA (253 nucleotides) under uncultured bacterium. RNAcentral's name for it is "partial 16S ribosomal RNA". It matches the Rfam family "Bacterial small subunit ribosomal RNA", at positions 524 to 776 of the family's 1533-position model. The record is from RNAcentral.